Molecule: ribosomal RNA, 1346 nt
Filed under: uncultured bacterium
Lineage: Bacteria
Description: partial 16S ribosomal RNA
Rfam family: Bacterial small subunit ribosomal RNA
Source: RNAcentral
GACGAACGCUGGCGGCGCGCUUAACACAUGCAAGUCGAACGGAAAGGCCCUGCUUUUGUGGGGUGCUCGAGUGGCGAACGGGUGAGUAACACGUGAGUAACCUGCCCUUGACUUUGGGAUAACUUCAGGAAACUGGGGCUAAUACCGGAUAGGAGCUCCUGCUGCAUGGUGGGGGUUGGAAAGUUUCGGCGGUUGGGGAUGGACUCGCGGCUUAUCAGCUUGUUGGUGGGGUAGUGGCUUACCAAGGCUUUGACGGGUAGCCGGCCUGAGAGGGUGACCGGCCACAUUGGGACUGAGAUACGGCCCAGACUCCUACGGGAGGCAGCAGUGGGGAAUAUUGCACAAUGGGCGGAAGCCUGAUGCAGCAACGCCGCGUGCGGGAUGACGGCCUUCGGGUUGUAAACCGCUUUCGCCUGUGACGAAGCGUGAGUGACGGUAAUGGGUAAAGAAGCACCGGCUAACUACGUGCCAGCAGCCGCGGUGAUACGUAGGGUGCGAGCGUUGUCCGGAUUUAUUGGGCGUAAAGGGCUCGUAGGUGGUUGAUCGCGUCGGAAGUGUAAUCUUGGGGCUUAACCCUGAGCGUGCUUUCGAUACGGGUUGACUUGAGGAAGGUAGGGGAGAAUGGAAUUCCUGGUGGAGCGGUGGAAUGCGCAGAUAUCAGGAGGAACACCAGUGGCGAAGGCGGUUCUCUGGGCCUUUCCUGACGCUGAGGAGCGAAAGCGUGGGGAGCGAACAGGCUUAGAUACCCUGGUAGUCCACGCUGUAAACGGUGGGUACUAGGUGUGGGGUCCAUUCCACGGGUUCCGUGCCGUAGCUAACGCUUUAAGUACCCCGCCUGGGGAGUACGGCCGCAAGGCUAAAACUCAAAGGAAUUGACGGGGCCCCGCACAAGCGGCGGAGCAUGCGGAUUAAUUCGAUGCAACGCGUAGAACCUUACCUGGGUUUGACAUGGAUCGGGAGUGCUCAGAGAUGGGUGUGCCUCUUUUGGGGUCGGUUCACAGGUGGUGCAUGGCUGUCGUCAGCUCGUGUCGUGAGAUGUUGGGUUAAGUCCCGCAACGAGCGCAACCCUUGUUCACUGUUGCCAGCACGUUAUGGUGGGGACUCAGUGGAGACCGCCGGGGUCAACUCGGAGGAAGGUGGGGAUGACGUCAAGUCAUCAUGCCCCUUAUGUCCAGGGCUUCACGCAUGCUACAAUGGCUGGUACAGAGAGUGGCGAGCCUGUGAGGGUGAGCGAAUCUCGGAAAGCCGGUCUCAGUUCGGAUUGGGGUCUGCAACUCGACCUCAUGAAGUCGGAGUCGCUAGUAAUCGCAGAUCAGCAACGCUGCGGUGAAUACGUUCCCGGGGCU